CCCCUCCCAUCAUUACUGUCAGUACCUGGAUUUAAAAAAUUGUAAAUAUUCAGUGUUAAGAAGUUCUUCUAGUCUAACAUUUAAUUACACAGGAUUCAAGUUUAUAUGUUAAGGAUCAGUUUGUGUCUUUGCAAAAAUGUGGAUAUUUUCAAAUAUAUUUCCAGAAACAACAAAUUGAAUCAAAGUUUUGAGGAACAACACAUGAAUCAAAUAGCACACCUAGAAUGGGAAUCUUUUCCUUUGGUGGAACAAGAACUCCAAAUGCACUUAUAGGUAAAACAUUUUCAGAAAAUUGGAGAUUAACUACAGCUAUUGAUACAGCAAACUUGAAAUAACCUGGGAAUACUUUUCAUUUUUUCCAUUUACAGUUAAUUCUACAUAAUCUUUGUUAAAUGUUAAUUUUUCACACGUAUGUUGCAUUUUUAUAUUUAUUCCGCGUUCAGUUAUAUUCUUAGCAAGUUUUUGAGGCAGUUGUUCAAAACCUCCUUCAAUUCCCCAUAUGCGCCAUACUUCUGUUUUAGCUCUUUGCACUAAUUGUGAA
Long non-coding RNA from Megachile rotundata (alfalfa leafcutting bee), 541 nucleotides. The record is from RefSeq and is a predicted model, not a curated record. Lineage: Eukaryota; Metazoa; Arthropoda; Insecta; Hymenoptera; Megachilidae.